AGAGUUGGCGCGCCAGGGCGUGGAAGCCGCCGGAGGAUCCCGCCUGUCGCAGCGGGGACGCGUGUGGGCCCCUGCUCCCAGGCCACUUCGCGCGCGCGCCCCCCACAUCCUCCUCGGGACACUUGUCCCUGGAUCCUCUACCCCUGGCCGGCCCGAGGCCGCCUUCUCGGGAAGCCCCACCAGCCCCCAAGGGUGUUUUCCCUUGGCUACCUGCGCUGCGAGGAGAGAAGGGAAUUCAGAGAAGGGGUACAAGGGGGGCGUCCCUGGGAGGGGGCGCGACUGGAGGAGACAGAACGGGGAGCGGGUGCCAAAGCGCGGGCCUUUGCUCCGCCUGGGCGCAGUGGGAGCACCAACUGGCAGAGUUGGAAACUUUUCCUCCACGUGGCACCACAGUGCGUGGACGAGCGACCCCGCGCCCGGAUGACCCCUGGGAUUCCCGCCUCGUCUUCCAGCGGGGGACCUAGGGACGCACGGGCGGCUUCAGAUCCGGGAGCGCGAGGCCUAACAGCCGGGGGCCGAACUUGAACCUCGGAGGCGGCCGCGGGCGAGGGGCGGGGCCGAAGGGGCCGGGACCGCCGCCCCAGCUCGAGGACCCGUUAGACCGGCAAACCGCAGUCCCUGCCCCGCGGGCUUCCUUUACUUUUUGGGAGUGGGGGGCGGUUUCCCUGCUUUUUCCACCACAGCCCCUCCUCCCGCCGCAAUGUGGCUGAUGCUCAUAAAAAGUUGUAUUAAAGAGCUGACUGCAGCCGAGAAUCGAUCAACAAAAGCGACCAGCCUCUCUGGGUCUAUCCACGGCCUUCUCAACAGAUGACUUCAAGUUGAUUUCGUGCUUUAUUUCUUAAGAAUAGUGACUAACCUAAGGGAUCUGAUUCAAUUUAUUAGGAACACAGUGCCACCUUCCAAAAUUACUUACCUAAGAGGACUGAGCCUGCUGUCCCUGGAGCAGUUAGCUAAAACAGUGCCUCAGUACGGAGCGUACCUGUGUUAACUUCUAGAGUGCUGUUUCCGGCAGCUGCUGAAAUCCACGCUGAGGUUAUCAAGCUCAUCCUACAAAAUAAAGUGUCUCUGAUGAAUGACACAUUGAUCAACCCAUAUUCUUCAGACUCUACCAUGUGAAGCCAAUGAAAGAUGCCUGCUGGUGACCAAAUGAUGUUCAUGUAAAAUGGCCAUUCUGGCAAAUUUAAUAAGCUUUAGAUUUAUUUUAAAAACCAACCAGUAUUUCUAUCCCUUCUCAAGGCAAUGUUUUCUAUUUGAGGUUUCACUUGACAUGACCAGGUAGGAAAAUUGAUGAAUAGUCAUAAGAAGAAACUUU
Molecule: long non-coding RNA, 1312 nt
Filed under: Homo sapiens (human)
Lineage: Eukaryota; Metazoa; Chordata; Mammalia; Primates; Hominidae
Description: non-protein coding lnc-CALN1-1:13
Source: RNAcentral